GGCAGACGGGUGAGUAAUGUAUAGGAAUCUACCUAGUAGUACGGAAUAAUUGUUGGAAACGACAACUAAUACCGUAUACGCCCUACGGGGGAAAAAUUUAUUGCUAUUAGAUGAGCCUAUAUUAGAUUAGCUAGUUGGUGGGGUAAUAGCCUACCAAGGUAAUGAUCUAUAGCUGAUCUGAGAGGAUGAUCAGCCACACUGGAACUGAGAUACGGUCCAGACUCCUACGGGAGGCAGCAGUGGGGAAUAUUGGACAAUGGGCGAAAGCCUGAUCCAGCCAUGCCGCAUGAGUGAAGAAGGCCUUUGGGUUGUAAAGCUCUUUUAGUGAGGAAGAUAAUGACGGUACUCACAGAAGAAGUCCUGGCUAACUCCGUGCCAGCAGCCGCGGUAAUACGGAGAGGGCUAGCGUUAUUCGGAAUUAUUGGGCGUAAAGGGCGCGUAGGCUGGUUAAUAAGUUAAAAGUGAAAUCCCGAGGCUUAACCUUGGAAUUGCUUUUAAAACUAUUAAUCUAGAGAUUGAAAGAGGAUAGAGGAAUUCCUGAUGUAGAGGUAAAAUUCGUAAAUAUUAGGAGGAACACCAGUGGCGAAGGCGUCUAUCUGGUUCAAAUCUGACGCUGAAGCGCGAAGGCGUGGGGAGCAAACAGGAUUAGAUACCCUGGUAGUCCACGCUGUAAACGAUGAAUGUUAAAUAUGGGGAGUUUACUUUCUGUAUUACAGCUAACGCGUUAAACAUUCCGCCUGGGGACUACGGUCGCAAGAUUAAAACUCAAAGGAAUUGACGGGGACCCGCACAAGCGGUGGAGCAUGUGGUUUAAUUCGAUGCAACGCG
RNAcentral lists this ribosomal RNA (828 nucleotides) under Wolbachia pipientis. Its description in RNAcentral is "bacterial SSU rRNA". It matches the Rfam family "Bacterial small subunit ribosomal RNA", at positions 97 to 963 of the family's 1533-position model. Lineage: Bacteria; Pseudomonadati; Pseudomonadota; Alphaproteobacteria; Rickettsiales; Anaplasmataceae. The record is from RNAcentral.